AGUGAACGCUGGCGGUAGGCCUAACACAUGCAAGUCGAAUGGCAGCACAGGAGAGCUUGCUCUCUGGGUGGCGAGUGGCAGACGGGUGAGGAAUACAUCGGAAUCUACUCUGUCGUGGGGGAUAACGUAGGGAAACUUACGCUAAUACCGCAUACGACCUACGGGUGAAAGCAGGGGACCUUCGGGCCUUGCGCGAUUGAAUGAGCCGAUGUCGGAUUAGCUAGUUGGCGGGGUAAAGGCCCACCAAGGCGACGAUCCGUAGCUGGUCUGAGAGGAUGAUCAGCCACACUGGAACUGAGACACGGUCCAGACUCCUACGGGAGGCAGCAGUGGGGAAUAUUGGACAAUGGGCGCAAGCCCGAUCCAGCCAUACCGCGUGGGUGAAGAAGGCCUUCGGGUUGUAAAGCCCUUUUGUUGGGAAAGAAAUCCAGCUGGCUAAUACCCGGUUGGGAUGACGGUACCCAAAGAAUAAGCACCGGCUAACUUCGUGCCAGCCGCCGCCGUAA
RNAcentral lists this ribosomal RNA (506 nucleotides) under uncultured bacterium. Its description in RNAcentral is "partial 16S ribosomal RNA". It matches the Rfam family "Bacterial small subunit ribosomal RNA", at positions 29 to 523 of the family's 1533-position model. The record is from RNAcentral.